This 447-nucleotide ribosomal RNA is filed under the name uncultured prokaryote. RNAcentral describes it as "bacterial SSU rRNA". It matches the Rfam family "Bacterial small subunit ribosomal RNA", at positions 355 to 796 of the family's 1533-position model. The record is from RNAcentral.
UCGAGAAUCUUCCGCAAUGGGCGAAAGCCUGACGGAGCGACGCCGCGUGCGGGAUGAAGGCCUUCGGGUUGUAAACCGCUGUCAGAAAGGAAGAAAUGCAUCAGGGUUCUCUCUGGUGUUUGACUACCCUUUCAGAGGAAGCGCAGGCUAAGUUCGUGCCAGCAGCCGCGGUAACACGAACUGCGCGAACGUUAUUCGGAAUCACUGGGCUUAAAGAGUGCGUAGGCGGCUUGGCAGGUGGGGUGUGAAAUCCCUCGGCUCAACCGAGGAACUGCGCUCCAAACCGUCAAGCUAGAGGGAGACAGAGGUGAGCGGAACUUACGGUGGAGCGGUGAAAUGCGUUGAUAUCGUAAGGAACACCGGUGGCGAAGGCGGCUCACUGGGUCUUUUCUGACGCUGAGGCACGAAAGCUAGGGUAGCGAACGGGAUUAGAUACCCCCGUAGUCC